AUUGAACGCUGGCGGCAUGCUUUACACAUGCAAGUCGAACGGCAGCGCGGGCUUCGGCCUGACGGCGAGUGGCGAACGGGUGAGUAAUACAUCGGAACGUGCCCAGUAGUGGGGGAUAGCUCGGCGAAAGCCGGAUUAAUACCGCAUACGACCUGAGGGUGAAAGCGGGGGAUCUUCGGACCUCGCGCUAUUGGAGCGGCCGAUGGCAGAUUAGCUAGUUGGUGGGGUAAAGGCCUACCAAGGCGACGAUCUGUAGCUGGUCUGAGAGGACGACCAGCCACACUGGGACUGAGACACGGCCCAGACUCCUACGGGAGGCAGCAGUGGGGAAUUUUGGACAAAGGGCGAAAGCCUGAUCCAGCAAUGCCGCGUGUGUGAUGAAGGCCUUCGGGUUGUAAAGCACUUUUGGCGGGAACGAAAAGGACUGUGCCAAUACCACGGUUCGAUGACGGUACCCGCAGAAUAAGCACCGGCUAACUACGUG
This 484-nucleotide ribosomal RNA is filed under the name uncultured bacterium. RNAcentral describes it as "partial 16S ribosomal RNA". It matches the Rfam family "Bacterial small subunit ribosomal RNA", at positions 29 to 507 of the family's 1533-position model. The record is from RNAcentral.